AGAGUUUGAUCAUGGCUCAGAUUGAACGCUGGCGGCAGGCCUAACACAUGCAAGUCGAACGGUAACAGGAAUCAGCUUGCUGAUUUGCUGACGAGUGGCGGACGGGUGAGUAAUGUCUGGGAAACUGCCUGAUGGAGGGGGAUAACUACUGGAAACGGUAGCUAAUACCGCAUAACGUCGCAAGACCAAAGAGGGGGACCUUCGGGCCUCUUGCCAUCGGAUGUGCCCAGAUGGGAUUAGCUAGUAGGUGGGGUAACGGCUCACCUAGGCGACGAUCCCUAGCUGGUCUGAGAGGAUGACCAGCCACACUGGAACUGAGACACGGUCCAGACUCCUACGGGAGGCAGCAGUGGGGAAUAUUGCACAAUGGGCGCAAGCCUGAUGCAGCCAUGCCGCGUGUAUGAAGAAGGCCUUCGGGUUGUAAAGUACUUUCAGCGGGGAGGAAGGGAGUAAAGUUAAUACCUUUGCUCAUUGACGUUACCCGCAGAAGAAGCACCGG
This 499-nucleotide ribosomal RNA is filed under the name uncultured bacterium. RNAcentral describes it as "bacterial SSU rRNA". It matches the Rfam family "Bacterial small subunit ribosomal RNA", at positions 8 to 496 of the family's 1533-position model. The record is from RNAcentral.